RNAcentral lists this long non-coding RNA (231 nucleotides) under Prunus persica (peach). RNAcentral's name for it is "long non-coding RNA (PPER_LNC000507)". The record is from RNAcentral. Lineage: Eukaryota; Viridiplantae; Streptophyta; Magnoliopsida; Rosales; Rosaceae.
CUGGACUGGGCUGGCUUGAAUUGGGUUGGACUUUAAUAAAUUGUUUGGUACAUCUAAGUUGGGCCAGGCUGCGAUGGACUUAAGUCCAUUGUUUGGUACAAAUAUAGGCUGGAAUGCUAUGGACUUAAAUAAAAAUUUAUUUUAAAUUUAAUUCUAAUAUUUUAUCAAAUUAUCAAAUUAUCUAAUAUCAUAAUUUAUUAAUUUAUUUAUAAAAAAAAGUACACAAAAAAC